AUUGAACGCUGGCGGCAGGCCUAACACAUGCAAGUCGAGCGGAGUGGCGAACGGGUGAGUAACACGUGGGUGACCUGCCCUGCACUUCGGGAUAAGCCUGGGAAACUGGGUCUAAUACCGGAUAGUGUGGGAUGGGCCCGCGGACUAUCAGCUUGUUGGUGGGGUAAUGGCCUACCAAGGCGGCGACGGGUCGCCGGCCUGAGAGGGUAGACGGCCACAUUGGGACUGAGACACGGCGCAGACUCCUACGGGAGGCAGCAGUGGGGAAUAGUGCACAAUGGGCGGAAGCCUGAUGCAGCGACGCCGCGUGGGGGAUGACGGCCUUCGGGUUGUAAACUCCUUUCACCAUCGACGCGGUAGAUGGAGAAGAAGCACCGGCUAACUACGUGCCAGCAGCCGCGGUAAUAC
This 408-nucleotide ribosomal RNA is filed under the name uncultured bacterium. RNAcentral's name for it is "partial 16S ribosomal RNA". It matches the Rfam family "Bacterial small subunit ribosomal RNA", at positions 28 to 526 of the family's 1533-position model. The record is from RNAcentral.